Molecule: ribosomal RNA, 236 nt
Filed under: uncultured bacterium
Lineage: Bacteria
Description: partial 16S ribosomal RNA
Rfam family: Bacterial small subunit ribosomal RNA
Source: RNAcentral
UGGGUUUAGGCCCACGGCAAACGGGUGAGUAAUACCUAGGAACGUCCUUUAAGUUGAGGAUAUCCCAUCGAAAGAUGGUGCAAUACUCAAUGUGGUAGCAAUACUAAAGCAGCAAUGCGCUUAAAGUGCGGCCUGGGCACCAUCAGCUAGUUGGUAGGAUAAUGGCCUACCAAGGCUAUGACGGUUAGGGGCCCCGAGAGGGGAAACCUCCACACUGGAACUGCGACACGGUCCAG